RNAcentral lists this ribosomal RNA (466 nucleotides) under uncultured bacterium. RNAcentral describes it as "bacterial SSU rRNA". It matches the Rfam family "Bacterial small subunit ribosomal RNA", at positions 28 to 476 of the family's 1533-position model. The record is from RNAcentral.
GAUGAACGCUGGCGGCGUGCCUAAUACAUGCAAGUCGAGCGAACAGACGAGGAGCUUGCUUCUCUGACGUUAGCGGCGGACGGGUGAGUAACACGUGGAUAACCUACCUAUAAGACUGGGAUAACUUCGGGAAACCGGAGCUAAUACCGGAUAAUAUAUUGAACCGCAUGGUUCAAUAGUGAAAGACGGUUUUGCUGUCACUUAUAGAUGGAUCCGCGCCGCAUUAGCUAGUUGGUAAGGUAACGGCUUACCAAGGCAACGAUGCGUAGCCGACCUGAGAGGGUGAUCGGCCACACUGGAACUGAGACACGGUCCAGACUCCUACGGGAGGCAGCAGUAGGGAAUCUUCCGCAAUGGGCGAAAGCCUGACGGAGCAACGCCGCGUGAGUGAUGAAGGUCUUCGGAUCGUAAAACUCUGUUAUUAGGGAAGAACAAAUGUGUAAGUAACUAUGCACGUCUUGACGGU